AUUGAACGCUGGUGGCAGGCCUAACACAUGCAAGUCGAGCGGAUGAAGGGAGCUUGCUCCUGGAUUCAGCGGCGGACGGGUGAGUAAUGCCUAGGAAUCUGCCUGGUAGUGGGGGAUAACGUCCGGAAACGGGCGCUAAUACCGCAUACGUCCUGAGGGAGAAAGUGGGGGAUCUUCGGACCUCACGCUAUGAGAUGAGCCUAGGUCGGAUUAGCUAGUUGGUGGGGUAAAGGCCUACCAAGGCGACGAUCCGUAACUGGUCUGAGAGGAUGAUCAGUCACACUGGAACUGAGACACGGUCCAGACUCCUACGGGAGGCAGCAGUGGGGAAUAUUGGACAAUGGGCGAAAGCCUGAUCCAGCCAUGCCGCGUGUGUGAAGAAGGUCUUCGGAUUGUAAAGCACUUUAAGUUGGGAGGAAGGGCAGUAAGUUAAUACCUUGCUGUUUUGACGUUACCAACAGAAUAAGCACCGGCUAACUUCGUG
RNAcentral lists this ribosomal RNA (484 nucleotides) under uncultured bacterium. RNAcentral's name for it is "partial 16S ribosomal RNA". It matches the Rfam family "Bacterial small subunit ribosomal RNA", at positions 30 to 507 of the family's 1533-position model. The record is from RNAcentral.